Molecule: RNA transcript, 1238 nt
Organism: Daktulosphaira vitifoliae (grape phylloxera)
Lineage: Eukaryota; Metazoa; Arthropoda; Insecta; Hemiptera; Phylloxeridae
Gene: Vhl
Gene name: von Hippel-Lindau tumor suppressor homolog
Exons: 4
Source: RefSeq, a predicted model, not a curated record
UAUUUUAACGAUAAGAAUUAUGUACAUCACUAUUAUUAUUAUUAACGAUUUAAAAUAUAAGUUUCAAUUGUUUUAUUUUAAUUCGAAAAUUUUCAUGAUUGGGAUUUCCUAAAUUAGUCUUCCAUAAGAUACUUUAUAAUAAAGUUGGAGAAUAUUUAUUGAUGGCUGAUCAACCAGAUAAUAAUAGACAGCCUGCAUACGUACGAUUUAAAAAUGGAACAUGCUAUGAUAUUGAAGUCAUAUGGAUUAACUUUCAUAAGAAAGAAAAAUCCUACUGUAUUUUACCUUCUGAAAAAUUUUUAGAUGUCAAUACUUAUGCUACACACCCGUGGAUAUUCAGAGAAUGUAUAUCAAAAAGUAGAAUGGUAGUUAAUGGUAAAGAAGUGUUUAUGGCAAGACCUUGGUUAGAAGAACAUAAACGUCUUAAAUUUAGUCAUCCUAUUAAUGUACCUUUAAGAACAAUGGUAUUAAUAGAAAUGCCAGUAAUUGAAUUACGUCAAUUAUGUUUGUUAAAUUUAGCUAAAAUUUUGACACAUGAAGAUGAAGUCAAAACAUUAGAAAUUCCUAUAAUUUUACAGAGGGAAUUGGUACAAAUGAUUUGUAACAAAGAGGAAUGUAAAAUGAAACUGACUAAUUAAAGUAUACUAUUAUGUAUCAUUAUUGAUAUGUUAAUAAGUUGCUUUAAUUAUAUUGUAUUGUUAAAGCUAAUCUUUCAACACCAAUUGGCAUACAAUUUUCAUUUUAUAAUGGUUUUGUAUUCUCUGUAUGAGACUGAAUGGUAUAAAAUUAUAAACUAACAAGGUAGUUAUGCUAAAUUUAUGUACGCAAUAAAGUAAAAGCCGAAAAAAAAUAUAAAUACAGUCAACAAGUUAAAAAGGUUAUCACAAUCUUUCAGAUAAUUCAUAAAGUAUGAAUUAUGAUCUGAUCUCUCAAGAACUUGAAACUUUUAUAAAUUAAUCACUUGUGAUUAGAUACAUUUUUAAAUAUCUCUUAGAAAUAAACAACAUAAUUUUAUGGCAAUUUGUGAGAUUUUGUGUUUAUGUAUUACAAUUUUAUCAAUAUUUUUAAAACCUAAAAAAGUAUACACUCGGUGUGUAUGCAAUGAGGCCCUAAAAUUUAAUUGAUGACUAAAAAAAGAUUCCUUUUUAACUAAAAAAAAUAUUAAGAUCCUUGCUAAAAUUUUUUCAUAAAGCUCUGCAAUAUCUAAUGUUGACCUUACCUAUACUUUUCAAAGAGAC